UAAUCUUUUACAAUUAAUACGAACAAUAACAUAUCAUUAUUUAGCGUUAACCUUUAUCGUACAGCGUUUGGAUCUAUUAUGACGGAGACGUAAAGACUCGCUUUGAUUUUGAUACUCGACACCUUAAACGUUGUUUGUUUAUAAUAUAACAAUAACGAGCCGAGCGUGUUAUCGAAACUUACUCUUUCCGACAGUAUUCGAUGUGACUUCGAAGAGAGGAAGAUCUAUAAAGAAAGAUCGUCAUCGUCUGAUUUCUCGAAUCGUUUUAAAUAACUAUCUUUACUCUGAUGCCGCGAAGAAGAAGGAGAAUAGAAGGAGAAGGAAGAGGAUGAGGAGGAAGAGAAGAUCGAGCAGUACUUUCUUUGGCUUCUGUCAUGGGACUGCUCGGUAUCUCACCUUGUUCAGCGCAAAGACUCAGGCCACUUGGAACAUCUCGAAAAGCAUCCUCUCUCUCGAAAUCGAUAGAACAAUUCCCCGCUGACUUCAUCGAUGCCACUUCGACGCAAAGCUCCUUUCUUUCUUUAAUAUCUCGAAUAUUCUCAUCUGGUACACUGUCAAUAGCUGGUUCGCUUGCGGAACGCAUCUCAGCACAGAUCUCUGUUAGAUCACGUAACGUUUGAUAACACGGUGGCUCAAGAUCACCGAGCGAGGCCGGCCCCUCUUCUGCACAAACGCUCCUCGGUGCUUCAGGAACUAGACUCUCCUCCGCGGAAUCGAACUCUUGACUAGAGCUGACGUCCUCUUCGUCAGCAGACACGGUUAUCACGGUGCCAAGAGGGUUGACGACUUUAGUUACUGGCUGACCCACCCUCUCAAAUACCGAGCGCCUCCCUGAUAACAGAAAAGCCGUUGGCAGGUAUCAAAAUCGAGUUACGUAUUGUUCAACUUUGCUUUGAUGCACUUUGUUCGCCAGUUUUUAGCGAAAUGAAACUAAUAUUGCAAAACUGUGGUCCCGGUCCAGCCGAGUCGCAUAUCGCUACUAAUGGCCGUUUCGGUUCAUAUGGAUCAGCAUGUUCAGAGUCAGUCUUCGGAUUUGGUAAAAUUCUUAAGCAACACUAUCAAUAAUUGAACGAUCAACUAUUGGCUGAGGUGAUACAACUUGAGCUCCUUUAUGCACACUACGUCUUGGUGAAUCAGCAGACAUUUUUCUUUCAUGAGCAAUUAUUUUCUCUAUAAAGAAAUAUACAAAAAAAAAAAAAAUUAAUUCAUCAUUCUUUAUAAUUAUUCAGUUAUUCGUUAA
Vespa velutina is the source of this 1240-nucleotide long non-coding RNA. RefSeq lists it as uncharacterized. The record is from RefSeq and is a predicted model, not a curated record. Lineage: Eukaryota; Metazoa; Arthropoda; Insecta; Hymenoptera; Vespidae. The transcript has 5 exons.